AUCACUUUUCUGUGUACAGCCAGUGUAUUUAAAACAAUCAUUUUCAUGACCAUAUGGUAGGCGAACAAUAAAGUUUUGCCAUAAACAGGCAACUGUAACCAUAUUUGUUUGGGGAGAGCAACACAGUCCAGCAAAAACAAAAGAAAAUGAGACCUAUAUUCACUUACAGUGGUCACGACUGUGUAUUUUGUGAUGUAUUACCUCUCACCAGGUAAAAAUAACAUAAUGCUUCACCGGAUGUCCAUCAAUUUCUUCGUGUGAAACACAAUAGCAACGAAAUUGUGCAUGCUAUCAAUCCUGAAAUCUUUCAGCUUAUCUCUCAUUAUCGUAUUUAAUGCUGUAGGCAUAUUGAGAGAGCAGUAAGUGAAUAAAACAGAACGGCUCCAGCCACAAUGUUUGAAGUCAAAGAACAGGUUGUAUACGGCCCGGAGCAUGACUAAAGUUUCACACGGAAUUUGCAGUCUCCCCUCCACAACGGCCACAGGCUGGUCACGUGAUUCCACCUCCACAUGGACAGGAGGCGGGGCGUGACUGCCAGCGCUCCUGGUUUUACUUGAGUGUACUAUGUUGCCUUUCCCGCCAGAAAACAAACAGUGCUUCUUGCCUGCUUCGUGUGUGCAUAUCUGCUUUGUUCGAACUUGUGCUUUUCGCCUGCUUUGAAUGUGCGCGUCCGCUUUGUUCGAAGUUGAAAAGAAAAUGAUAUCUUUUGAUGACAGCAUUGGGGAUGAGGACAAGAGAGAAGUGGCUGUAAGUAUUUAGAAGUAGUUGUACUAUCGUUAUCUUACGAAUUUUGUGUUUGGCAUCGUAGAAAUAAACCAAUGAAUUUUCCCUCAACAGAAUAUUCUUCCACAAUGGAAAACGCAUGUGCUGCAAAUUCAGAGAAGUGCCAAUCUGAAACACAGUCAACGAAACACCUCAUUUUGAGGCAGUUGAUGUUCUGCCAUCAUAACACAGUUUCGAAAAGAGUUAAUGAUACUGCAGUGCAUCCUGCCACGAAAAACACCAACUGUCCAUCGAAAAUGAUGAUAAAAAUUCAUGUUGUGCACGAAAGGACCCCUCCUGAAAACACUUGAGAAGGAUUAUGGACCCAUGGAUUCUAAUGAAGGGAAGGAAUUCCUGCUGCAACAGAGAUUGCUGAAAUACAAUACAGAAGUUAGGAAUGUGUGUUGCAAGAUGGUUAUGAAAGAUGCCGAUUAUAUAAUAUGCAUUUGCUCACAAUUGAUGAAGAAAGUACAUAUGUGUGAAGAAAUGGCACCAGAAAUGGUCUUCAUUGAUUCAACAGGAUCUUUAGACCACAAUGGCAGUAGAGUUUUUGUGUUACUCACACCCAGUGCAUGUGGAGGUUUACCGCUGGGAAUUAUAGUAACUUCAUCAGAAAGCUGUGAAGUUUUGCAAAUAGGCUUCCAGCUAUUGAAAGAGAUAGUAGGAAAAGAUAUUUUUGGGGGGAACAUUGAUGGACCACAUGUCUUUUUGAUUGACGACUGCAAAUCGGAACAAAAUGCCAUUAUAAGAUCUUUUCCCCGUUCAACAAUCAUAUUGUGCAUUUUCCAUGUGAUGCAGGCAGUGUGGCGGUGGCUUAUAAAAACCAAACAUGGAAUACCGCAGGACAAGAAAAUGCAAUACUUUAAAGACUUUAAAAAAAUCAUGUAUUCAAAAACCAAAGAUGAAGCUACAGUUAAUUAUAACGCAGCUAAAGCAAAUAUAUGUGACGAACACAACAGUUAUCAAACAUACUUAGAUGGGUAUUGGGAAAGACGACACCUAUGGGCACUUCCUUAUCAAACCCGUAUGUUGAUACAGGGGCACCACACUAAUAACUUCAGUGAAGCGUUCAUGAGGAUUUUGAAAGACUAAAUUUUUUAGAGAAGAAAAGCGGUCAAUGUAGUGCACAUGGUCGACAUCAUACUCACAAGGGUGAAUUCUUAUUUUGAGAUGAAGCUGCUUGAUGCUGCUAACAGAGCAACCCUGAAAUCUUUCCACGAGACCAUUAGAGUACCUACACCGGAAAUUCUGAGUAAGAUAAUUAUGAUUCAGGAAGGCUUUCUGUUGGUUCCAAGUGAGAGUACAGAGAAUCGCUUCUAUGUUGUCAACAUGGCUGUGCUUGUUUGUAAUUGUCUUGAGGGCAAUACGGGCAAGAGAUGUAAACACAUUGAUUGGGCUAAUAUUGUUUACCCAUCAGAAAAGUAUGAAAAAGCUAUAAACAGUGAAGAAAUUCGUCGAAAGUAUUAUUUUAUAGCGACGGGUAAGCAGUCCCCCAAAAUUGGCUGAAGCCUCUUCAUGAACCCCAAAGUACUGCAACAUUAAAUGAUGCUGAUGUGGAGCACAUUGACACAGAGGAAGAGAGAAAUAAUGUACUCCAGUUCAGUAUAGAUAAUACAGAAGAUAGACAUGAUGCUGAUGUGGGGCAAAUGGAUGCACAAGAAGAAAAACGUGAUGUUGAAGAAGAAAUACCAGACGCAACACAUCUCAAAAACAUUUCCCACAAAACAAAUACAAAUCUAUUAAACAGAGCAGUAGCUCAUCUCACAGAGCUAUCCAGUAGGUCACUGGAAGAGAUGACGAAGUUGAAAAGAAGAAAACGCCAUCUGCCUACGUGAAGGCAAAGCGAGACAUAAUAUGAGAAAACGCAUUCCGAUUCAAUCAACAUCAAUUGGAAGAAGAAAGAAGGCAGUGAAAAGAAAAAAUGCACACACCCAGAAAUUUUGAAUAUCCUAUCAAAGUGUGUUACUCCAUACAAAAGCCUUGCAUUUCCUAUUUAAUGGUUUAAUGGUUGUAUCCUGUUUUGUCUAACACAUACAAAAAUGAUUAUUAAAAAUAUUUUCUACUUUUUUCAACAAAAUUUUCAUUGUGUUUGAUGGAAAUACAGUCUCCCUGUCCUCUUGG
Molecule: unclassified non-coding RNA, 2883 nt
Filed under: Schistocerca americana (American grasshopper)
Lineage: Eukaryota; Metazoa; Arthropoda; Insecta; Orthoptera; Acrididae
Description: uncharacterized LOC124553723, transcript variant X1
Source: RNAcentral